Molecule: ribosomal RNA, 497 nt
Filed under: uncultured bacterium
Lineage: Bacteria
Description: partial 16S ribosomal RNA
Rfam family: Bacterial small subunit ribosomal RNA
Source: RNAcentral
GACGAACGCUGGCGGCGUGCCUAAUACAUGCAAGUUGAGCGAUGAAGAUUGGUGCUUGCACCAAUUUGAAGAGCAGCGAACGGGUGAGUAACGCGUGGGGAAUCUGCCUUUGAGCGGGGGACAACAUUUGCAAACGAAUGCUAAUACCGCAUAACAACUUUAAACAUAAGUUUUAAGUUUGAAAGAUGCAAUUGCAUCACUCAAAGAUGAUCCCGCGUUGUAUUAGCUAGUUGGUGAGGUAAAGGCUCACCAAGGCGAUGAUACAUAGCCGACCUGAGAGGGUGAUCGGCCAAAUUGGGACUGAGACACGGCCCAAACUCCUACGGGAGGCAGCAGGAGGGAAUCUUCGGCAAUGGACGAAAGUCUGACCGAGCAAAGCCGCGUGAGUGAAGAAGGGUUUCGGAUCGUAAAACUCGGUUGGUAGAGAAGAACGUUGGUGAGAGUGGAAAGCUCAUCAAGUGACGGUAACUACCCAGAAAGGGACGGCUAACUACGUG